This 635-nucleotide ribosomal RNA is filed under the name uncultured bacterium. RNAcentral describes it as "bacterial SSU rRNA". It matches the Rfam family "Bacterial small subunit ribosomal RNA", at positions 819 to 1454 of the family's 1533-position model. The record is from RNAcentral.
GCCGUUGGGACUCUUGAAGUCUUAGUGGCGCAGCUAACGCACUAAGUUGACCGCCUGGGGAGUACGGCCGCAAGGUUAAAACUCAAAUGAAUUGACGGGGGCCCGCACAAGCGGUGGAGCAUGUGGUUUAAUUCGACGCAACGCGAAGAACCUUACCUGGCCUUGACAUGCAGAGAACUUUCCAGAGAUGGAUUGGUGCCUUCGGGAACUCUGACACAGGUGCUGCAUGGCCGUCGUCAGCUCGUGUCGUGAGAUGUUGGGUUAAGUCCCGUAACGAGCGCAACCCCUAUCCCUAGUUGCUAGCAGUUCGGCUGAGAACUCUAGGGAGACUGCCGGUGACAAACCGGAGGAAGGUGGGGAUGACGUCAGGUCAUCAUGGCCCUUACGGCCAGGGCUACACACGUGCUACAAUGGUGCGUACAGAGGGCUGCAAACCCGCGAGGGGGAGCUAAUCUCACAAAACGCAUCGUAGUCCGGAUCGGAGUCUGCAACUCGACUCCGUGAAGUCGGAAUCGCUAGUAAUCGCGAAUCAGAAUGUCGCGGUGAAUACGUUCCCGGGCCUUGUACACACCGCCCGUCACACCAUGGGAGUGGAUUGCACCAGAAGUGGUUAGUCUAACCUUCGGGAGGACGAU